This 64-nucleotide transfer RNA is filed under the name Halpe nephele. RNAcentral's name for it is "tRNA-Thr". It matches the Rfam family "tRNA". From Rfam's summary of the family: Transfer RNA (tRNA) molecules are approximately 80 nucleotides in length. Their secondary structure includes four short double-helical elements and three loops (D, anti-codon, and T loops). Lineage: Eukaryota; Metazoa; Arthropoda; Insecta; Lepidoptera; Hesperiidae. The record is from RNAcentral.
GUUUUUAUAGUUUAACCAAAACAUUGGUCUUGUAAAUCAAAAUUAAAUAUUUAUUUUAAAAACU